RNAcentral lists this ribosomal RNA (253 nucleotides) under uncultured bacterium. RNAcentral's name for it is "partial 16S ribosomal RNA". It matches the Rfam family "Bacterial small subunit ribosomal RNA", at positions 524 to 776 of the family's 1533-position model. The record is from RNAcentral.
UACAGAGGGUGCGAGCGUUGCUCGGAAUUACUGGGCGUAAAGCGCACGUAGGCGGCUUUCUAAGUUAGAGGUGAAAGCCCGGAGCUCAACUCCGGAAUUGCCUUUAAGACUGGAUCGCUUGAACACGGGAGAGGUGAGUGGAAUUCCGAGUGUAGAGGUGAAAUUCGUAGAUAUUCGGAAGAACACCAGUGGCGAAGGCGGCUCACUGGACCGUUGUUGACGCUGAAGUGCGAAAGCGUGGGGAGCAAACAGG